Long non-coding RNA from Erigeron canadensis, 372 nucleotides. RefSeq lists it as uncharacterized. The record is from RefSeq and is a predicted model, not a curated record. NCBI's taxonomy places the organism in Eukaryota, Viridiplantae, Streptophyta, Magnoliopsida, Asterales, Asteraceae. The transcript is spliced from 3 exons.
GAUGUAACAAGUGCGGCGAUCACCCCCUCUCUAUCUAAGGUACAAAGUCAAUAUCAUAGUAGAAGAUGAAACAGGCUCAUUCGCUUUCACCCUCUUUGAAAGAGAUGUCAUUCAAUUGGAGUCUAUUAUGAAAGACAAUGAAGAAACUAUGAACUCAAUAACCGCUAUUCAUUAUGAUGAUACGGAUUUGGAACCAUCAAGUGCCAAGACCACCACAAAGAGAAGACGCAUUCUCAUUGAAAAUGAUGUUUCAAAUCCUUGAACCUGAGUGACAACUCUAUGUCUUUCCAUUAGUUAUGGCUAGAUCUAAAUCGCUUAUCUUGCUUUUUGCUUAAUAAAUUGGUAUGCAACGUUGUGCCAUCCAUUUUAACC